Molecule: ribosomal RNA, 307 nt
Filed under: uncultured bacterium
Lineage: Bacteria
Description: partial 16S ribosomal RNA
Rfam family: Bacterial small subunit ribosomal RNA
Source: RNAcentral
AGACAGCAGUAGCCGCGGGAAUACGUAGGUGGCAAGCGUUGUCCGGAAUUAUUGGGCGUAAAGGGCUCGCAGGCGGUUUCUUAAGUCUGAUGUGAAAGCCCCCGGCUCAACCGGGGAGGGUCAUUGGAAACUGGGAAACUUGAGUGCAGAAGAGGAGAGUGGAAUUCCACGUGUAGCGGUGAAAUGCGUAGAGAUGUGGAGGAACACCAGUGGCGAAGGCGACUCUCUGGUCUGUAACUGACGCUGAGGAGCGAAAGCGUGGGGAGCGAACAGGAUUAGAUACCCCGGUAGUCCCUGUCUCUUAUAC